AAAUUUGAGUAUUUUUCAUUUUCUAAAACAGUAUUUUUUUAGUGAUUUGUUGAUAAAAGUUAGCAAUAAGGUGGAAAUUGGGCUGAUUUGUUAAAGCAGAAUCUAAAUAAAUUGAGAUUUAGAGAGCAGGAUAAGGAAUUCUUCGGGGGUCCGUGUAAAAAAUCGUAACAGCCAUUUGCUGUGUGCUUCACCGAAAAUCGAUAUAGCUGGUUGUGUGUACGCGUUCGAUACUCAAGGGACGUGUUCCUGUUUUUAUAUAGGUUCGGCCCUCGAAGGUUUGGGAUUCGAAAUGUGUUUCAUCGAUUGAAGACAGACACGUGUAUGGUCAAUAAAUUUCAUUACAAAAAUACAAA
Molecule: long non-coding RNA, 353 nt
Organism: Belonocnema kinseyi
Lineage: Eukaryota; Metazoa; Arthropoda; Insecta; Hymenoptera; Cynipidae
Exons: 2
Source: RefSeq, a predicted model, not a curated record